RNAcentral lists this small nucleolar RNA (62 nucleotides) under Bos grunniens (domestic yak). RNAcentral describes it as "Small nucleolar RNA SNORD58 (ENSBGRG00000023072.1)". It matches the Rfam family "Small nucleolar RNA SNORD58". From Rfam's summary of the family: snoRNA U58 is found in introns 1, 3 and 6 of the ribosomal protein RPL17 gene in humans. U58 is a member of the C/D class of snoRNA which contain C (UGAUGA) and D (CUGA) box motifs. The record is from Rfam by way of RNAcentral. Lineage: Eukaryota; Metazoa; Chordata; Mammalia; Artiodactyla; Bovidae.
UUGCUGUGAUGACAACUUUGGGACAACUUUGGAUUAACCAUGAAAAAAAUGUUCUGAACAAC